AAGCCCCGGCAGGAAUUCUCCUGCUUCUCGAGGUUUGCAAUCUCGCGUGGAAACACCCCGAGGC
This 64-nucleotide transfer RNA is filed under the name Oreobates quixensis (common big-headed frog). Its description in RNAcentral is "tRNA-Cys". Lineage: Eukaryota; Metazoa; Chordata; Amphibia; Anura; Strabomantidae. The record is from RNAcentral.